AUUGAACGCUGGCGGCACGCUUUACACAUGCAAGUCGAACGGUAACAGGUUAAGCUGACGAGUGGCGAACGGGUGAGUAAUGCAUCGGAACGUGUCCGGUCGUGGGGGAUAACGCAGCGAAAGCUGCGCUAAUACCGCAUACGAUCUGAGGAUGAAAGCGGGGGACCGUAAGGCCUCGCGCGAUCGGAGCGGCCGAUGUCAGAUUAGGUAGUUGGUGGGGUAAAGGCUCACCAAGCCGACGAUCUGUAGCUGGUCUGAGAGGACGACCAGCCACACUGGGACUGAGACACGGCCCAGACUCCUACGGGAGGCAGCAGUGGGGAAUUUUGGACAAUGGGCGCAAGCCUGAUCCAGCAAUGCCGCGUGCAGGAAGAAGGCCUUCGGGUUGUAAACUGCUUUUGUACGGAGCGAAAAGGCUCUCUCUAAUACAGGGGGCUCAUGACGGUACCGUAAGAAUAAGCACCGGCUAACUACGUGCCAGCCGCCGCGGUAA
This 493-nucleotide ribosomal RNA is filed under the name uncultured bacterium. RNAcentral describes it as "partial 16S ribosomal RNA". It matches the Rfam family "Bacterial small subunit ribosomal RNA", at positions 29 to 523 of the family's 1533-position model. The record is from RNAcentral.